This 28-nucleotide small RNA is filed under the name Bombyx mori (domestic silkworm). RNAcentral describes it as "piRNA piR-bmo-1389612". The record is from RNAcentral. Lineage: Eukaryota; Metazoa; Arthropoda; Insecta; Lepidoptera; Bombycidae.
UGUCUAUAGGAUUAAGGGUCAAGUCGGC